This 990-nucleotide small RNA is filed under the name Pan troglodytes (chimpanzee). Its description in RNAcentral is "processed transcript". Lineage: Eukaryota; Metazoa; Chordata; Mammalia; Primates; Hominidae. The record is from RNAcentral.
AGCUCUGUAAGUAAACACUCUGCGCGGCGCAGACAUGGCCUCUUCCUAUCUUUGAGGCGGUGUCUGCGGCAGCGCCUCAGAGUGGUUCAGGUCGUCUCUCCUCAAGUCGGCUAGUCGGGCGCGCGGGCUGAGAGUCGUCGCCGCCUGUCGGGCCCGGCGUCCGGCGCCAAGAUGUGGAUACAGGUUCGCACCAUUGAUGGCUCCAAGACGUGCACCAUUGAGGACGUGUCUCGCAAAGCCACGAUUGAGGAGCUGCGCGAGCGGGUGUGGGCGCUGUUCGACGUGCGGCCCGAAUGCCAGCGCCUCUUCUACCGGGGCAAGCAGUUGGAAAAUGGAUAUACCUUAUUUGAUUAUGAUGUUGGACUGAAUGAUAUAAUUCAGCUGCUAGUUCGCCCAGACCCUGAUCAUCUUCCUGGCACAUCUACACAGAUUGAGGCUAAACCCUGUUCUAAUAGUCCACCUAAAGUAAAGAAAGCUCCGAGGGUAGGACCUUCCAAUCAGCCAUCUACAUCAGCUCGUGCCCGUCUUAUUGAUCCUGGCUUUGGAAUAUAUAAGGUAAAUGAAUUGGUGGAUGCCAGAGAUGUCGGCCUUGGUGCUUGGUUUGAAGCACACAUACAUAGUGUUACUAGAGCUUCUGAUGGACAGUCACGUGGCAAAACUCCACUGAAGAAUGGCAGUUCUUAUAAAAGGACUAAUGGAAAUAUAAAGCAUAAAUCCAAAGAGAACACAAAUAAAUUGGACAGUGUACCCUCUACGUCUAAUUCAGACUGUGUUGCUGCUGAUGAAGACGUUAUUUACCAUAUCCAGUAUGAUGAGUAAGUGCUCAAGCUAUUGAGGACUUUAUUCAUAUUUUCAUUUGUAGAAACCAAAGCCUUCUAUUUCAAGAUUAUUUUAAAUAGUCUUUCUGAAGAAAUCCUUUAGAGGUUAUGUUCAUUUGUUACUUUUUGGUUUUGGUGGUUGUACUCUAAUUUAAAGGUCCUUUUAGCUCUC